Molecule: long non-coding RNA, 8998 nt
Organism: Sus scrofa (pig)
Lineage: Eukaryota; Metazoa; Chordata; Mammalia; Artiodactyla; Suidae
Source: RefSeq, a predicted model, not a curated record
AUAUCACUUAUAUGUGGAAUUUAAAAUACAACACAAAUGAACUUAUGAAACAGAAACAAACUCACAGACAUAGAGAACAGUUGCCAUGGGGGAGGAGCCAGGGGAGGGAUGGAUUGGUAGUUGGUAUUAGCAGGUACAAAGUAGUAUAUGCAGGAUGGAUAAACAACAAUGUCCUACUCUAUAGCACAGGGAAUUAUAUUCAAUAUCCAGUGAUAAAUCAUAAUGGAAAAUAAUUAUGAAAAAUAAUGUAUAUAUUUAUAACAAUGAUUUUGCUAUACAGCAGAAAUUAACAUUGUAAAUCAACCAUAUUUCAAUAAAAGUUUUUUAAAAAAGAGGUGACUUCCAGUUUUGAGUAACUAUUAUUUCUUCAUCCUCUGUAUCCAAAAAGUAACCAAAAUGAGGUCGCAAUGGGAAUAUCUGUGGAAUUCCCCCUCUGCUCCUUUAAUCUCUGACUGAAUGGCACCUAACAGUGCCCAGACACACACCACUGCUCCCUGUACUACAUAUAGCUUUGGCUGUAUGUACAGAGGUAUAACUCUGGAGAGACUCAAGUACAGAGAAGCUAAAUGAUUACUGUUCUAGACACCACAGAAGAUUACAGAUGACACUUCCAUAAAAAUGAAGGCAUUUUUCCAAGAGCACUGUCCAAGUAGGUGGACAUUAUUUAAACAUUCAUUAUAUCCUAUGCAAAACCACCAAUGUCUUCUUAUUUCAAAGCAUCCCCAUUAAAAGGGAAUUAGACUACCUAGGAAAGAGGGCUGUGUGUAUUUAACUUGAAAACAAGAUUUGACAAGGUGACCAUCUGCUUUCCCUUUCCCCACUUAACUACAAAAGGAAUGGUACUUGAAGCCAACCAAAAUAACCCAAGGAGGAACUGAUACUAUGACACACUCAUUUUCUUCGCAAAGUGCAAAAAAACAGCCACACUGAAGAGCAGCACAGUUAGUGCCCCAGAGACUGAUCUUCCACUAUAACCACUUGGCUUAAAGCCAGUCACCCUGAAGAUAGUGACAUUACUCAAGCCAUUGGUAAAGGCUUCCUCUGGGAGGGACGAAUGCUCAUUGAGUGACACCACAUUCUACCAGCUUGCGUGGAAUCAUCUUCACCCAAAGUCAGAGCUUCUUCCUGCAGAGUUUUUUUGGCAUGUAUUUGUCAUUAAAUAAAAAAUGCUUGAAUGCAAAUGUGAAGAAAAAGCUCCUUGUAUGGAAAACACAGCAGACUGAAUGUCCGAAGAUCUAGCUCCAGGAUCAAUGCACAUAAUUCAACUGAAGUGAUAACGAUAAAGUCAAGACAAGUUUGCUCAUGCUGAAGCAAUGAAAACAGUAUCAAAACUGACACCUGAGAAAAUACAUAAAGCCUUUGAUGUCUGAUGAAGCAAGCUGCCAUGUUGUGAAAUGUUCUACAGAGACGUCCACAUGGGAGGCAACAGGGGGAAGCCUCCACCAAGAGUUCUCCUGAGUAACCAACAACCACUUGAGUGAGCUUAAAAGUGGACCCCGCAGGGUAACACAGAAGGUGAGAAGACUUGAGAGGAAGGAGUUGGAAGGGUGUCACAGGAUGCCAACAGGCUGAAGGAGGAGUUAUAAAUGGCCUGCUGAAAUAGAGAUGAAUUCGCAUGUCUAGUGGAAGCUGAAAGAGGAAGAGUUCAGCAGAGCACCUCAAAGAGCCCGGAAAAGCAGCCAUGGGGAAAAGGUAACCAUGAGUGAAGAUAUGAUAUGCAAUUUGGAAUUUGCUGCACAGAUGUAUUCAAAAUGCAUGGGCUACUGAAACCCCUUUUAAAAGUGAUCUGAGAAGGGAUGCAGGCUGAUUCCUUUGCUUUGGAAGGAAAUGAAGUGUUUCAUAGAACCAUAGGCCUAAGGUCAGAGACUGAUAAAAGAUCUGAAAACUACAGGUGUCCUCUAUAAACACGGUCACCCAGGCCACCUGUUCCGUGGCAUGGAAGGGUCUAUUAUCAGUGAUGCCUCCCUGCAGGGCUCUCCUUGGCCCUGUCAGGUUCAUCGCCAUUGUCCGAAAUAAGCACGUUAAUCGUUUAGUGAGUACAUAGUUCAGACCCAAUCAUUUGAGGAAAAUUCUCUGGAAAUCGCCACCUUCAAGUCAACAACUGCAACAUUUAAACGAUUCCUAGUAAUAUAAGGACAUGAAGACAGCUCCGCCUCCCUUUGCCUCAGUUUAUUCCCUUCUGCAGCUGGGAGAAAAAUGGUACCCACCUCAGAGCAGUGCUGUGAGGAGGUAAUGAGUUAAGACCAGCAGAGCGCUUAGAAAACAAUACAUAGCAUAUAAUAAGGACUCAGAAGCGUGCACACAGGAUGAAUGAAUAAAAGGUCAGCCAUCAAUCUCUCUGCAGCAGCCUUAGAUGCAGAAUUAAUACCCAGUGCACUGCAGGAUGCCUGGCCUGAACACCACCUGGUGGUGAGGGCGGAGCAGAAUCUGAUUCCCCCCUCAUUGAGGCUAACCAGCACACGCGAGAGAAAUUGGAAGCCCUUCUAAAGAGAAAAGAAAGGCCUUCAGUAACAGCUUCAGUCUCACCUCAUAUCCAAAGCCACCUCUCUGAGCCGUUGCAGUCUCAACGACAGUUGAGAAGCAGUUACGAAGCUUAUCAAAGGAUCACUGCCCUGUCAAUCUAGUUCCCGGCUUACCCUCAUUUUAGGUGUGCGCAUGCUCCGUGGCCUCCAAACGCAAUCACGGGAGAGACACCGGAAGUGCCGAGAAGCCUUGCGAGGAUUCACUCACGCUUUCCCUCGUUGCUCCAGGACAGAAUUAGAUGUGUUGGAUUUUGUUAUACCCUUUCGCUUGAAGGGACCACACAUCAUAAGCCUGCUCCAGGAGAGCAAACCUGAUAGUCAGCAUGUUCAGCCUGGGGAUAGGAUACUUUGAUUUCUUCAGGACUUCUUCCCAGAAUCUGGAGAUGAAGAUGUGACCACUGGACUCCGCGGUGGACGCUACACUGGAAAGGAGAAGAGGACCAAGCUCUGGGAGCUUCCACCACGCAGCCAACUCCCCCAGCUCUUCUGGCAGUUAACGCAUUUGAACUUCAUGACAGCCAAUCAUUAGAGAAACUUAGAGUUUGAUGCUAACUUCUAUUUCUGCAUUCUUAAGUUUGGCUUUUAGCUAUUAUGCAGAACACGCGUGGUAAAUCUUUUUAAAAACUAUACAGAGACUAAGUCUGAGGGGGAGGCACCUGGGGAAGGGGUUUGUGUUGGUGCCUGCUGACUCAUGGUGGGGGAGACAUGUGUUUGUCCAUUUUACAGACGAAGGAACUGAAUCUCAGAGAGGCUAAAUGACAUCAGUAGAUCACCCAGACACUACGCUUGCAAGCCAGGGGGAUUAAAAAUACUAUCUGACUUUAAAGUUAAAAGCUCUCCCCAGUCCACUCCACUGACUUCCACCCCAAGGGCAUCUGUGGUUCAUGCAGGAACUAAACAAAAGCAAGAACAGAAAGUGAUUACUGGAGCUCCAAUGCAGGGGUUGGUCAAACAGAAGAACGAAGGCCGGAAGCACCUGGCCUGUGGUUAGGUGGUGUUCUGCUGCUCAUUUCUGAAGCAGAGAGAAGAAUUGCUUGAAUUUUUCUUGUGUCUUUUUUGCCCAGUGUGAAGAUCGAUGGAGGCAGGAGAUAGGCUAGCUACACAGUGGCAAGAGGAAAAAGCAAAGCAAGACUUUAGAAGUGAACCUGGGGGUGUUCUCUGUGCUUCUUCCUUCCAAUUGGAGGACACUGUAGUUCAGCAACAAACAAGGGGAACUCGGAAACUAGGCAAGCAAAAACCCCAAAGCAGAGUCCACAAGAGUCCUGGAGAAGUCUCAGACGACUCUGGCCAGGUCAGAGAUGGGAGUGUAAACCCCCAAAUCAGGCAGCCUUGGAUGAGGAGCCCUGGCAAGGGAGCCUCUUGCUUCCCAGAGGUAGAGAGUGAGGAGAAUGAGCUGGAAAACAGAUAAUCUGAGCAGAAAAGAGCUUACAGUUAUGAGUUGUUUGUAUAUUCAUAUAUUACCUUCAUCUAUGUAUGAUUUUCCUCUGCUAAUUGAAUUUCUUUCUGUAAACUUGCAUUUUUUUUUUUUUUUUUUUUUUGGCUGUGUCUGGGGCCAGGGAUCAAACAUGUGCUAUAGCAGCAGUGACCUGAGCUAUAGCAGUGACAACACCAGAUCCUUAACCUACUAAGGCAUCAGGGAAGUCCUAUAAACUUGGAUUUAGAGUGCUGAUAAAAAAAAUUUUCUAAUCCCUGCCUAUCUGGAAAUGGAAGAAAAGAUAAUACACCUGAACUUGAGGCUGGAUAGUGGUUCUCAAUGGUUCACCUGCCCUGGCAUGAUCCAGUAGAGAUGGUACUCAAUACUCUUUGCAAAUGUUGGGGUUUUUUGCCUAGCAUGGGGUCCUGGACAUGUGCCAAGGCCUUUCUCCCCAUGAAGUGGCAGCCUGAGCUGCAGAGGAGACUAAGGCUGCAAAGCUGAUGAGUUAUUUGACUGCUCACAAAAAGUAGAAUGCUACAUAGAUUCAUGGAAUAGACUCAAAAAGUUAUGAAAUGUGCCACAUUCAAAUUCAGAAAAUUUUCUUCCUAAAGAAAAGGGAAUAAGUCAUUAAAGCAGUUUUUUGUUUUUUGUUUGUUUGUAUUGUUUUGUUUUAAAAGAACUCAUAACAAAAAGCCCAGAUGAGAGGCUGGUUUCUUCUUGUAGAUGCUUUUUCUAUUUCUCUGUGUUAUUAGAGGUUAAAGCUGUUAGGUAUGAAAUCUGGCCUACUUCACAAGCUGGAGGUCUUGCCUUAAGGGAUCAUAAUUAUUUUAUUUUAGUUCCAACCUUCUGUGGUAUCAUAGCUACAGUGUAAAAAGGGAAAAUGUCUAGACUUGAGAUUUUUUUUGAUGACAUUAAAAAUAUACAAGGUAUAACCUAUAAAGUACACAAGGUAUGAACUCUAAAAUGUGAGGGGAAAAAGACAUGUCAAAACUAUGGUAAAAUGUAGGGGGGAAAAAAACGAGAAAGUCUUGAUCUUGUGCAGACUGGAAUACCAUUUUCAUUCCUUUACCAUUUCUUCAGAAAGUGUUUUGUUUUGUUUUGUUUUGUUUACUGUUCUUUCAGGUUAUUCAUACAGUCUGUUAAUGUCAAAGCAGUUAAUGUCAAAGCAGGGAAAAACAAUGUUAUAUUGAUAACAUUUCAUCUAUUCAGACCUAUGAUGAGUCUUUGAGCCCAUGGGUCCCACUUUAUGUAACAGAUAUAUUAGGUGAAAAUUUGAAGAAAUUUGGGCACAAUAUUAUAAAUGGGUAAGGAAAUAUCACUAUUUAAAGUAUUUAGUUAUUCAAUGAAUGAUUAGGUGUUUAGUAAAUUAUUUUUUAAAGAGAUCUUUUUUUUUUUUAAGGUCCGUACCCGCAACAUAUGCAAAUUCCCAGGCUAGGGGUCAAGUCAGAGCUAUAGCUUCAGCAACACCCAGAUCUGAGCCACGUCUACAACCUACACUACAGCUCAUGGCAACGUUGGAUCCCUGACCCACUGAGCAAGGCCAGGUAUCAAACCCACAUCCUCAUGGAUAUUAGUUGGGUUCUUAACCCACUGAGCCACAACAGGAAUUCCUAAAGAGAUCAAUCUUAUUGUAGAGGUGUUAUCACUUUAGAUAUAUAUGAAUUUUCACACGCUGAGAUUUCCUACAGUGGGCAGGACUGUGUUUUUCAUCUUAUUCUGAUUGGGUUUUUUUUUAAGAGCCUCAUACAAUUUUCACUGCUAGUAUAAAACAUAAGUACAUAAGGCCUGAUCCUAUAAGUGAGAAGAGGGUAAACCGAGGGUAAACCAGAGAAUAGUGGGGUUAACUCACCCCUGAUUUAAAUUUUAGCCUAAUAGAAUGAAGUCAGUGUAGCUGCUGACUCAGAAGAGAGAGGGACCACUUGCUCCCCUUUGGGAGGAAAGGCUGAAGUUCCUUAAUGUCACACAGAGACACCAAGAUCCACCUGCAGACCAGCCUAUGCAUUAUUUAGAAUAUAGGUUCAGUUGUGAAUAACAAGGAUACAAAAUAAUAGACGUUGCAAGAAAACAUACUUCUCACACAUAAAAGACACAUUAAGACUAUAUGGAGGCUCUUCAUUUAUCUGGGAAUCAGGAUGCUUCUAAACUUUCUCUGCUCCAUCACUGGGAAGUAGCUGCCGUCCUCAUUGUCCAGCAUAGAAGACCAGCAAUCAUUCCACUUUCCCAAUAGUGUUAAAAAAGAAAAACUGUGGGAGUUCCCACUGUGCCACAUUGGGCUAAGGAUCCAACUGCAGCAGCUCAGGUCACUGUAAAGGCAUGCGUGGGUCAAUCCCUGGCCCCUUGCAGUGUGUUAAAAGACCCAGCAUUGCCUCAACUGUGGCUUGGAUUCAAUCCUUGGCCACGGAAUUUCCAUAUACUGUGAGUGUGGAUAUUUUAAAAAAACAGGAGGGGAGGGAGGAGGAGGUAGAUUGUGGAAGGAACUUCAAGUUGUUUUCUAAUUAUCUAGUCUCCCUUGCCAAGUAAUGGAAGCCACUUGGGCACCUGGAAUAAAAAUUCCUUUCCCAGUCACCAUUGCAGCUAGAACCUCUCAUAAUGGGAAGUGAGAGAAGAGAAAUAUGUGGCUUUCUGGCUAUGUCAUUAAAGGCAGGGGUGAUAUACCACCUCUUACUCCCUUUCCUUCAUCUUGGGCAGCAAAGUCAAAGGCCAGUGGGACACAUAAUGGAGCCAUUACACCAGCCUUGCACUGUCUAUUAAGACUUUUCUACAUGAUCUUUCCAGCCCAGGUCAUUUAGGUCUGUUAAAUUCUGCUAAAACUAAGGUCUUCCUAAGACACCAACUUAAGGGAAGUUUCAUGAAGUGAAAAAGGUCCCUAUUUUCAUUUAUUAGGGUCCAAGAGUUAGCCCCAAAGUCUCACCUUUGCCCUUUCAUUUGCACAUUGAAUAAGCCUAUAUGGAGUAUCUGCAGUGUUCCAGAUGGUGUUCCAGGCCUUUGAGGCAAUGCAACAUGAAUGUGCCUUGAUUCUUCCCUCAAGGAGCUUACUAUCAAAUAGAGGAAGAAUUAAGGGCACAAAUAUGACUGUAUGCUGGUCGUAUGACAGGCACUGCUGUAGCUGUUUUCACCUCUUUUAUCAUUUGCAUCUCACAAAAUUUCUAUGGAAUCUCAUUUUAUGGAUGUAGUCAUCACAGCUCUGAAGGGUGAUAGAGUUUACUCAGGGAAAUACCUAUAACAAGUAAUGGAAUCAACAUUUAAGUUUCAAUUUCUGACUCAUAAGCCAACCAGUGACCAAGCUGCUUCUUGGACAUACAUUCAAAAAGCAAGGCUACAAGGCUCCAUGUGACAAGACUAAGGACUUCAAAUGCUUCAGCUGAUGUGGCACUAACUCUUCUUGAGAGGUCACCCAGCCAUUUUAGUUUUCUCAAUGUCAUAUGUGUCCUGGACCAAGAACAAAUUCAUUCUUCCCCCUCUAUAAGGAAGAGUAAACCAACCUAAGGUCACCAAACCUAGAUCAUAGGCACAAAAAUGUCACUUUCUAGGUCCCAUCACUAUGACUACAAUCUGCAUUUUAUCUUCUUUUCUCAUUGACUUUCCCUGCCACCCCUCAAAAAAAUUCACUGGAAAAUUCCCUUCUUGACCAUCAUUUUUGUCUGCUCAUCCACUUUGGACUCCAGCCCUUUUCCCUCUGGACAUUUCUCUAUAUAUAUUCCACAUGUAUAAAAUAGCUUUGGAGCCUGUAUCCUUCUUCAUCCAAUAGGCUAUUAUUCCCAUUGACCCUAAAGCAUAUAAAUCAUCCUGUACAGACAUUUAUAGAAUUGUUGUGUCAUCUCUUCAAUCAUAUCACACCUUCUGCUAAAAGUAGCCAGCUCUUACAUCAUUUUCAGAGGUAAUUCAAUGUUCAAAAUCCCAAACAACCAGAAAGUCUAAGUGGGAUGAAAUUUUUUAAAUCAGUUGAAGCCUAUAUAUGUCCCCAAAUUAUAAUGCCAGCUCGGUAUGAUCACCCAACACAUGGGCAAAUCCUGGCUUACCUAACCAUUUUAAGGGCAGUAAGAACAAAUGACAAGCCUUUCUUAUAUACCAGGGGCACUUGUACCAGAUAAUUAUCUAAACUCAGCCCAGCAGAGUUCUUUGCCAGCAGUAGCUAUGAAAAAAGGGGCUGUGAUCCCUUCUAUUAUUUAUGGUAAAAUAAUCCAACUGAUGAAACUAACAGCCCCCAGAUGUCACUGCCUUCACAAAACAAAGACAUUUCUUGCUUAGGUCAUCUUCUAAUUAGGUUUUCAGUGGUCAGCCUUCAUGAGGUGAUUUGGGCAUACAGGCUCCUAACACCUGGUUGGCUUCUCAGAGUGGAUCCCCUGCAUUUGUUCCAAAGCAAGGGAAGUGGCAAUGUUUGGACAUUGUGCUGCUAUUUUAUGGUCAGUUAUCUUUAUCACAUCAUGUGCCCUUGUCCAAUUUCCAGAACCCAGACCCUAUAACCCAAACCUAUCUGCAAGGAAGGUUGGGAAAUGUAGUUUUCCAGUGUGCUCUGAACAAGAAUGGGACUGGAAAACAAAGGGCCAGCCUCUGCCCCACCCCUGGGAACAAGACUUUGAAGACUGGAUGUUCCCAGGUCGGAUGGUUGGCACAUAUUUUCUUACUCCCCUGAUUGCCUGGAUGCAAAUAUGCUCAACACAUAUGAGGCCCCGGCACUCUGACAUAAAUAGAGGGGCAUAUCUUGGCCAUGAAUUUGCAACUGCUGGUUGCUGUGUUUUCAAAUAAACUUGGGUUUCUAUUGUUAUCCCUACCAGCCAUCCCUUAUCCACCCCACUGUUGGUGGGAAUGUAAAUUGGUGCAAUCACUAUGGAAAAGAAUAUACAGGUUCCUCAGAAAACUAAAAAUAGAAUUACUAUAUGAUCUAGAAAUCCUACUCCCAGGAAUAUAUGGGGACAACUGUAAUUCAAAAAGAUACAUGCACCCCUACAUUCACUAAAGCUCUAUUCAGAAUAUCCAAGACAUGGAAACAACCUAAACAUCCAUCAACAUAUGAAUGGCUUAAGAGGUUGUGGUACAUAUAUACAGUGGAAUACUACUCAGC